RNAcentral lists this ribosomal RNA (171 nucleotides) under uncultured bacterium. RNAcentral describes it as "partial 16S ribosomal RNA". The stretch from base 1 to 78 matches the Rfam family "Bacterial small subunit ribosomal RNA", at positions 796 to 873 of the family's 1533-position model. The record is from RNAcentral.
CACGCCGUAAACGAUGAUAACUAGCUGUCCGGGUUCAUGGAAUUUGGGUGGCGCAGCUAACGCAUUAAGUUAUCCGCCUGGGGAGNGCGCAGAACCUUACCAGCGUUUGACAUCCUCAUCGCGAUUGCCAGAGAUGGCUUUCUUCAGUUCGGCUGGAUGAGUGACAGGUGC